AAAAGUUAGAUAAUGAAUAAAACGAACAAGACUUGGUUUUAGUCGAAACAGCAAAACAAAACAAAUUCUCAUCGUUGAGUUGAGAACUCUCCUCCCUCUCUCCCUCCAUCGCCGCACAUCUCAUCCUCAUUUGCAGGCACGCAGGCAGACCACUAAGAAGAUCGAUCCUUCUCUUUUUGACUUAUGAAUAAUAUUGAUUUGAUUAGGGGAAGUAGAAAGAUCAGAUGGCACUAAAAAGUGUCACAAAAAUGUUAUCCCAGAGGUUGUUUUCCAGGGGCACUAGAGGCAUUGUUACCAAUACUGGAGGACGAACUGAGACCAGCAAACAUAUUACGGAUGAAAAUUUGCGAAGUAUUUGUGAACGCGUUGAGCAGGCUACUGCGGAUGCAAAGCAAUUAUGUGA
Papaver somniferum (opium poppy) is the source of this 403-nucleotide long non-coding RNA. RefSeq lists it as uncharacterized. The transcript is spliced from 3 exons. NCBI's taxonomy places the organism in Eukaryota, Viridiplantae, Streptophyta, Magnoliopsida, Ranunculales, Papaveraceae. The record is from RefSeq and is a predicted model, not a curated record.